Small nucleolar RNA from Macleaya cordata, 108 nucleotides. It matches the Rfam family "Plant small nucleolar RNA R71". From Rfam's summary of the family: R71 is a member of the C/D box family of snoRNAs containing the C (UGAUGA) and D (CUGA) box motifs. The record is from Rfam. NCBI's taxonomy places the organism in Eukaryota, Viridiplantae, Streptophyta, Magnoliopsida, Ranunculales, Papaveraceae.
AAUCUAGUGAUGAGGGCAAGAUGCACAUAGCUUCUUGAAUCUCUCCCAAUACUCAUAUAAACUCUCUCCAUUUUGUUGCCGAACACCAUAUAUUUCUUUCCUAAUAUU